This 492-nucleotide ribosomal RNA is filed under the name uncultured bacterium. RNAcentral describes it as "partial 16S ribosomal RNA". It matches the Rfam family "Bacterial small subunit ribosomal RNA", at positions 29 to 507 of the family's 1533-position model. The record is from RNAcentral.
AGUGAACGCUGGCGGUAGGCCUAACACAUGCCAGUCGAGCGGCAGCACAGUAAGAGCUUGCUCUUACGGGUGGCGAGUGGCGGACGGGUGAGGAAUACAUCGGAAUCUACUUUUUCGUGGGGGAUAACGUAGGGAAACUUACGCUAAUACCGCGUACGACCUACGGGUGAAAGCAGGGGAUCUUCGGACCUUGCGCGAUUGAAUGAGCCGAUGUCGGAUUAGCUAGUUGGCGGGGUAAAGGCCCACCAAGGCGACGAUCCGUAGCUGGUCUGAGAGGAUGAUCAGCCACACUGGAACUGAGACACGGUCCAGACUCCUACGGGAGGCAGCAGUGGGGAAUAUUGGACAAUGGGCGCAAGCCUGAUCCAGCCAUACCGCGUGGGUGAAGAAGGCCUUCGGGUUGUAAAGCCCUUUUGUUGGGAAAGAAAAGCAGCAGGUUAAUACCCCGCUGUUCUGACGGUACCCAAAGAAUAAGCACCGGCUAACUUCGUG